RNAcentral lists this long non-coding RNA (1414 nucleotides) under Mustela putorius furo (domestic ferret). RNAcentral describes it as "lncRNA (ENSMPUG00000027303.1)". Lineage: Eukaryota; Metazoa; Chordata; Mammalia; Carnivora; Mustelidae. The record is from RNAcentral.
UGCAAAGAUCGUCUUUGUAAUAUCUGGGUUCCAAUUGUCAUUUUUUAAAACCCAGAGUUCUAUAAAGAGAAUUUCUACGUUCUUUAAAAAAUUCGAAAUAACCCUAGGAAGUGCAUCAUAUUAUGCUAUUAUUAGCUACUCACCACUAUAAGAAAGAGCGCUGGAUUUGUGAUAAAGAGACCUGAGUUUAAAUCUUGGUUCGACCACUAAAAUAUACUUCACCAGUUUCAUAAAAUAACUUUACGCUCUCUUCGCUGUACCUGAUAUUGAAUACCCAUCAUGCACUCUUUACCGCCAAUACUUUGAAAUAGGACGGGGAAACUGGAUGUAAAAGAGGGGAGGGAAGAAAAUUUUCUUCUUUAUGUCGUAAGGUAAAGGGGCUCUGAAUCCUGGAGCCUUUGUUUCUUCAGGCACUAGAAAUACACUGCCUGUGAAAUGGGUGUGCAUCUCGAGAUAAAGAUAGGAUUCUAUUCAUCAAUGUUCAACUCAUAUCCAUUCCUACCCCCCUCUAACUCCUAGCAGUGUUUUGCACACAGUGGGUACACUCCACGUGUCUCCCAACGCCUGCAAAGUUGCAACUGGAAGCCAACGCCUUGCAAGGUUGCAACUGGGUUGCAACUGGGCCAAAUCCUGCACUAGUUCGCCCCCUCUUGGCCCACUGGAGCGAGGCCUAAAUGGACUACAUUUCCCGGCAGGCCGUGAGAUAGACUUCCGGCUCUACCGGAAGGAACUUGGCCGACACGUGAGACCAUCAGUUGGAAAGAGCUGCAGACGAAAUUGGAACAUCUCGUCUCGGCGUUGUCAUGUUUCUCCAGUAUUAUCUCAACGAGCAGGGAGACCGGGUCUAUACGCUGAAGGACCUUGACCCUGACCACCCCACCACCCAUGGGUUGACUUACUGGGCUUCCUCUUAUUCUCUUUUCUUUCUUUCUUUCUUUUUUUAAAGAUGUUAUCUGUUCAUUUUUCAGAGAGAGAAAGAAUGCACAAACAAGCAGGAGGAGUGGGAGACGGAGGAGGAGAAGCAGGCUUCCUUCUGAGCAGGGAGCCUGAUAUGGGACUUGAUCCCAGAACCCCAGGACCAUGACCUGAGUCAAAGGCAGAGGCUUUAACUACUGAGCCACCCAGGCACCCCUCAUUCUCUUUUCUUUAAACAAAUUUUUUUUCGUUUACUUUUUCGUAUAUUUCUCAAUCUUGGCAGCUGUGUUGCUUGGGUAGGGACACGGGGGUGGUUAUCUCACAUCUAUGAAAAUUGGUGCCGGGGCGCCUGGGUGGCUCAGUGGGUUAAGCUGCUACCUUCGGCUCAGGUCAUGAUCGCAGGGUCCUGGGAUCGAGUCCCGCAUCGGGCUCUCUGCUCAGCAGGGAGCCUGCUUCCUUCUCUCUCUCUCUCUCUGCCUGCCUCUCUGCCUGCUUGUGA